GCUGACAUAUAGAUUCUGUAAAAUAUCAAAAAGAUUUGAAAAGAUACGUGAAAGAUUUUAUUAGAUCUCUGGAAAGAGAGAGAGAGAGAGAGAGAAUGUAAAAAAAAGGAGAUUUUUUUUUAUUUCUUCUCCACCAUCUUUUCUUUCCUACAAAGAUUUUGUCCAAGAUGGUGAAGGAAUACUUUGCGACUGAGAUAGACAUGGCAAUGACGAGUUGUCACAACGAUCUCGUAGCUUCCUAGCGUGAAUAGAGGAUUAAGUCUUUCAAAGGAUGGGUCUUUGAAGAUGGAGUUGGAGCAAAUUUUUGGCAAAGAAGAAGCAAAGACAUGCGCAGACGUCAAAGGUGCCACACAUGUUUAUCAGCGGGAGGUGGUACAUCGGGGGGUUCAGAAUAUUCACUGUUUUAAAUUUCAUGGGAAGAUUUGUCGUCUUUCCUCCAUUAAUGAUAUUAAGCUACCAAUGAUGUUUUCCAUCUUGUUGUUGCAGAUUUAUUUUUCCUUCACCGAUUCUUCAUUUAUCCAUUGUGAAGAGAUUUUUAUUACAUACUUAAUCUUUUAGUUUCUAGUACUUAUUCAAUGAUUUGAAUUGUUUGUUUUAAUGGUUGUUACAAUUCGAGAUCUGUUUGGAUUAUGUAUUGUGAAAAUAUUUACAGGAAUGGCUAUAGCAAAGAGUAGACGGCUAAUUUUAUAUUUAAAUUGAUAACACGUUAUUUACUUGUUUUUAUAAAGAUGGAUGGCUACGGUGGAAGGCUAAUUUUAUACUACUUACGCAGUGGACGGC
Molecule: long non-coding RNA, 780 nt
Filed under: Brassica napus (rape)
Lineage: Eukaryota; Viridiplantae; Streptophyta; Magnoliopsida; Brassicales; Brassicaceae
Description: long non-coding RNA (BNAP_LNC021494)
Source: RNAcentral